This 119-nucleotide small nuclear RNA is filed under the name Helianthus annuus (common sunflower). RNAcentral describes it as "sRNA HanXRQr2_Chr04g0147521". It matches the Rfam family "U5 spliceosomal RNA". Rfam says of the family: U5 RNA is a component of both types of known spliceosome. The record is from Rfam by way of RNAcentral. Lineage: Eukaryota; Viridiplantae; Streptophyta; Magnoliopsida; Asterales; Asteraceae.
AGCCAUGUAGCGAGCACAAAGCGAACUAUUCUUUCGCCUUUUACUAAAGAAUACCGUGUGCUUGUUACAUCAAAUGGCAUACGCCUAUUUUUGGAGAGCCUUUUCAUUUAUUGAAAAGC